RNAcentral lists this ribosomal RNA (254 nucleotides) under uncultured bacterium. RNAcentral describes it as "partial 16S ribosomal RNA". It matches the Rfam family "Bacterial small subunit ribosomal RNA", at positions 524 to 776 of the family's 1533-position model. The record is from RNAcentral.
UACGUAGGGGGCAAGCGUUGUCCGGAUUUAUUGGGCGUAAAGAGCUCGUAGGCGGCUUGGCAAGUCGGGUGUGAAAACUCCAGGCUCAACCUGGAGAUGCCACUCGAGACUGCUAUGGCUAGAGUCCGGUAGGGGGGGGUGGAAUUCCACGUGUAGCAGUGAAAUGCGUAGAGAUGUGGAGGAAUACCGAUGGCGAAGGCAGCCCCCUGGGAUAACACUGACGCUCAUGCACGAAAGCGUGGGGAGCAAACAGG